UUGAACGCUGGCGGCAGGCCUAACACAUGCAAGUCGCGCGGAUGAAGGGAGCUUGCUCCUGGAUUCAGCGGCGGACGGAUGAGUAAUGCCUAGGAAUCUGCCUGGUAGUGGGGGAUAACGUCCGGAAACGGGCGCUAAUACCGCAUACGUCCUGAGGGAGAAAGUGGGGGAUCUUCGGACCUCACGCUAUCAGAUGAGCCUAGGUCGGAUUAGCUAGUUGGUGGGGUAAAGGCCUACCAAGGCGACGAUCCGUAACUGGUCUGAGAGGAUGAUCAGUCACACUGGAACUGAGACACGGUCCAGACUCCUACGGGAGGCAGCAGUGGGGAAUAUUGGACAAUGGGCGAAAGCCUGAUCCAGCCAUGCCGCGUGUGUGAAGAAGGUCUUCGGAUUGUAAAGCACUUUAAGUUGGGAGGAAGGGCAGUAAGUUAAUACCUUGCUGUUUUGACGUUACCAACAGAAUAAGCACCGGCUAACUUCGUG
RNAcentral lists this ribosomal RNA (483 nucleotides) under uncultured bacterium. Its description in RNAcentral is "partial 16S ribosomal RNA". It matches the Rfam family "Bacterial small subunit ribosomal RNA", at positions 30 to 507 of the family's 1533-position model. The record is from RNAcentral.